Molecule: non-coding RNA, 45 nt
Organism: Schistosoma mansoni
Lineage: Eukaryota; Metazoa; Platyhelminthes; Trematoda; Strigeidida; Schistosomatidae
Source: Rfam
AUCCAGCUGAUAAGUCCAAAAUAGGGCGAAAUGUACUUUCUGGAU